Molecule: transfer RNA, 67 nt
Filed under: Heliangelus regalis
Lineage: Eukaryota; Metazoa; Chordata; Aves; Apodiformes; Trochilidae
Description: tRNA-Ser
Source: RNAcentral
AAGGGGAGGUCCAAACCAACAAGAACUGCUAACUCUCGUAUCUGAGUCUAAAACCUCAGUCCCCUUA